AUUUGCUUAAUGCUCUAACCGUGGCAAGCUUGGCUGGAAGGCAGGCUACACAUAGCAGGGAAGAGGGUAGACUCCAUGAGGAGAUGGGGCAGGAUCCAGGGUGUGGUAGCCGACUUAGAGCACACUUCCCUUGAAAAUAUGGGACAAAUAUUUAAUAACGAACAUUGGUCGGAGCCACAAGUGAGUAAAGAGCUAGAUGUUUCCAGGCGGUCGCGGGUCUCAGCGUUUGGGUAAUGGCAGCCCUCUGCUUCCAGAGCGUCUGUCCAAUUCGCAGCACAACUUCACAGGGCAGAGGGAUCAAAGUCCGAGAGUUGACAAGCCAGUAAAACUUAAGAAAGGCACCCGCGUCUCAGCCAACUGGGCUGGGAUCCACCACUAGGAUUUAGUUCUUGCAAGAGAGUCAGACUCCAACUCCGGGACAGAAGCAGAGAUGCUCUCUAUAAAGCCGUGGAGGGGAAAAACAGGCUCAGCCCUUGGAAACAUGAGCCUGGCUUCAACUCGACUCUUGGUCGCCGCCGUAUACCUGACUUGGUGAAGAAGAAAGGAAAGCAAACAUCUCCCAGCAGAAUGAUCGAGCGCAAAGCGUUCAAAACUUGCAAUUCUGACAGACAGUCCUCGAGGGAAGGUGGGGUUCAUGGUUUUUGAGGGGUUUUUGCCCAUCGUGAUAUGGGAAGGACAGAAGAGAAGUUCAGGUCAGGGUGGUCAAAGCUGCUGAUACUGCCACAGACCAGUGUGCAGAGUGGUCAGGACCCUGAGCUGGGGGAAUGGUCAAAGGCACACUCCUAGAGACCAACUUGUGCUCGCUGAUCCCUGCCUCUUGAAAGUUCCACAGCCUCUCAGAAUAGUGCCCCCUGCUGGGAAGGAAGAAUUCAAGACGUGAACCUGGCGGGUGGGGCUUGGGGGGUGGAUUUCAGAUUGAAACUAGAACAGAAGGCCCAGAAAAGGGAGGUCGGUGAGAGUCUGUAUUCUUAAUUCAGGACGGCUUACAAAUAUGACUAGUUAAUUUAUAAGAUGUAAACUAAUACUUAAAAAAAAAAGAAUUUAGCAAACCAGACAGGGAAUUUCAGGACGGCAGUGACCUUUGUGCUUGCUGAGGCAUCGUAGGCGACAGUCUGCUGGAGUCCGGGAAGCCAUCUGCAGCUAGAGGGACCCUGCAGCUAGGGGGACAAUGAGCUGUCUGUCUCCUCCUCUACCUCCAGCUCUCCCUUGAGGGUUUGCGUUGGCAGAAUCUAAGCAGGAAUUUCUGGGAAAUUUAGUUUCCAGAUGUUACAGCCCCUGUGAGUCAGGACACAGAAGGGGAAAGAGCUACCAUGGCCACGGGGCCCAAGUGAAAGACAUCAAUUAUUUUAGGGUGAUGUCAGAGAAAGUGGGUCGCAGUGGAAAUGGAGCUCGGCGAGGCCGAGUCUGGGUGGAAGGACUGUGGGGAAGCAACACCCCUGCAGACAGGAACUGUGAGACACGCUAGGCAGAGUGACAAGGAGGUUGAAAUGCCACAACCUUCGAGAGUGACAGAUGCUCUUUGUUUUAAAGAGCUCAGUAGCGUGUAUAUAGAAAAUAAAGGCACCGUGGAUGGGACAAGGGGACUGUAAGAACCUGUCCCCCACUCUUGCUGAUAGUUUGAAAGCAUUCUGUGAAAUAAAUAUUCUUCUUCCAGACUAGGCAAAAAUGAAAACGGUUAGCAUUUGGACCUCGGUGUUGGAACUGGAGGUUAGAAGGUAGAAAUGUGGGAGGGAGUUAGACCAGAAGUUGACGGAACUUGGCAAGGUGAGUAGCAGGAGGAAGGCAGGAGCAACCAGGACUCCACAGUCUGUGGGGUGCGUAGCAUUGUGAACGGGCACCAUGAAUUGAGACAUGGCCAUAAAAAAAGUCGGAGCAGUUCCCUUUGGGAUGUGUUCUGUGUUAGGAUGUGAAACUACAGACAUCAAUAAUCAAGACAGAGGUGGUGGUGUGUCGUGUCCCCCCCACCCGCUUCCUGCUGAACAUACAUGACACCUUUGCAUACAAAGGGAAGUAUAACUCUCUACGUGUGAGUUUGGCCACAGUCACAGAAAAGAACUGAUUGAUAUCUAUCAAAGAUAUUUCCCCAUCUUAUUCCCCGAUGGAGCUUGAUGCUUGAAAUCCAACACGUGGUACUUCAAACUCCUGGCUUUAAGUUAAGGCACCUUAAAGGUUUGUGCUGCCCAUCUACCUGUGGUGUGGCGUGCUGAGACUUGCUUUGUCACACGUACCCUGAAAACAAUCAGUGCAUAUACACACACUAGUGCUGCUAUAUGGCCAGAGCUCGCAGCAUGGCCUAUUACAUGAUUUUUCCAGAAAGAUGAUAACAGGCAUCACACCAGACAGGGCAUCAGUGUCAGGUCACAGAAAUUACUCUACUAAAUUCCAGCUUGAGGAACCAAGGAAUCUUUUGGGGUUAUAUACAGCAACGUAGCAAGGGGCUCCUUGAAAGAACCUGAGUGGCUUAAAAGCAGCUGUACCCCCCAAAAUGACCCACCAGAGCUUCGUCCCCGGGACUCCCCACCUAUCUCAAAGGUAACCCCUUAGAGAGUCUCGUCUUGAGCAACAAUUAAUUAUUGCUUAUAUAACCCAGAGUGGGGCCUGUCCUGUUAACUUCUGCUGUCAACCUGACAGCCCAGAGUCAUCUCAGAGAGGCUCCAUUGGGGAAUCAGAUCGAUCAAAUUGUCCUGUGGCCAUGUCUAUGAGGAAGUCUUUUAGUUGUGGAUUAUUGUCAGAGGGCACAGUCCCCUGUGGGUGGUGCCAUUCCUUAGCAGAUGGUUCUGGGCUAUCUAACAAAGCUGGCUGAGCAUGAGGGAGAGAGAGAGAGUAAACCAGCAUGCAGUGUUCCUCCAUGCAACUCUGCUCCAGAUUCCUGCCUCUCGAGAGGUCCUGCACCGGCUUCCCUCCGAGAUGAACUUCUACCUGGGAGUGUCUAUUGGAACAAACACUUCCCUCCCCAAGUUGUUUUUGGUCAUGGUGUUUAACAGAAUGACAUAAAGGAAGCUAGAGGAAGGCAUAUUCCUACUAAGUCUUGUAAGCUUCCUGGGCCUGCUAAAUUUUAUGGGUUUGUGAGUUUUGCUAGCUCCUUGUGUCUUAUGAGCUCCUGUCCUCUCUUAACUCUCCAGGAGGACAUGUUUCAGUUCGGGGGCAAUAGCUACACAGUAGUGCCCAUGAUGAGCCAGAGCUAGAAGAAUCACUGGCCCCUACAUAAAGCCCUGAUUGUCAGAGAGACAGGAGGUCUUCAUGAGUCUGGGGAAACUUGCUGUGACUUACUUUGUCCUCUGUCUUCAUAGGCUCCCUGCCUGCUCUAUCUAUUUUUUCUUCUAUUUCUUUAACAACUUGAUUGUUGAAACCCCAGGAAAUUCUAAGCCCAUUUCUCCCAUCAAAAUGAAAGGAACUUAUUGAUGAAAUCAUGAGUCCAUUAAGAUUGAGUGGUACAUCUCCAUUAGGGCCACGAUUUGCAUCAUAAAACAGAUUAACAUGAAAGGUGGAAGCACUCUUCUUGGAGAGGAAAUGCACAAAAGAAUCUUUUAGGGCCUUCCGAAUUAAAGCAGAAUAAACACUCCACCAGGCACAGAGAGAAGGCAAGGGACAGGGGGGAAGGUUUCGACAGAGCCAAGCAAGACUGAAGACCUGCAGCCACAUAAGUGGUGUGACUCAUAGCUUAGUUGUGGGUAGACAGCAGAAGCCAGGGAACAUUCGGAGCUGAAAGAAACACUCGUAUUAAACAUUCUGCUGGAGCAAGGGUUCCCACUGCAGUGUGCUUACAGAGCCCUGCUCUGAAGUAUGCCUGGGCCGGCCGUUCUCGCUACUUUAAUGGAGUUGCUGAGAACCACCCUCUUGCCCGGCUAAGAGCCUGUGGUUCUGAGUGGAUGAGAGUGCUGUUCUCCUCAACCUUCCUCAGAAUGUUGAGAGGACAGUUCUGUGACAAGAGCUUUGCCAUGUGGCCUCCCCAGGAAUCUAGAUUGUUCCGGAUGAUCAAAGGAUAAUGAAAUAAACCCUACAUUAAUAGAGCACAGGGUUCUGGGAGUGUGUUGGGGGGCGGGGAUGACGUCUUCUCUUGCCUAUCAAGCUGGUGCUGUUUGUGUGUGUAUCACUUGCUUAGCAGCAUCAAGACCUUUAGCUAAAAGGAGAGGCUGGCUUAAAGGAUUGGAGCACCCGGGGGAUUCGCUGUUUGAUGGAAACAGGUCAGAGAAAGGAGCAAGAGAAUGAUCGGCCGUCUUACUCUUCUGGUGGGGUCUCUUUGCUCAUGUGUGAGAGGCAGUUCAUGCCAGCUCACAGACAUCAAGCAGAAUUUCUUCCUAAUUCCCCCACUCAGUGACUUCAUAGGAGGUUGGCACUGGCUAGGAUAGGAAUGUUUACAUUGCCAGAAUUGGCAGAUGUCACAAACCAGGGUGUUUUUUUCUCCCCUACUGUGGUUGCCUUGUUUUCUCCCCUAGAAAAUUUAUCGUUAAAUAUUUAUCAGCAUUCUCCUGGAAUUUGAUUGAAAGAUAAUUUGGCCAUCAAAGCAGCCACACGGCCUUCUGAAACUCUGGCUGAAAGCUUUCUGAGCACAGCAAGGGUCAAACAAGUGACCGGGCGGAGCUCGGCGGAAUUUGGAAAAAGGGAAAGGAUUCUUGGAAUACACGCCUGUGUGACAUACUCACCCAUGAACACUCACCUGAGGGUCAGUGCUCACAGGGUGACAUGGUAGGCACCUCUCGAAAGUUGUAAAGGGACCUUUAGGAAUGUGGCCACGAGAUGGACACUACUUAGACAUGAUGUGGGCCUCUUUCUCAUUGGACCAGGGACUUCAGAUAAAGGAUAAGACCCAGGAGGCUGGGCCUCAGAAGGACCAAUUUACAGGGCAUUUUGAUAGUGAACCAAUUAACCUCUUCUACCUAUAGGGCUCAGACAAAAGAUAGUUGGGCUCAGGAUGCAUUCUGGGAGCACUGCCGCGUGUGGGUGGUAAUGAUGUGUCAGAAGUUCUUUUUCAGAUGGGCUAAGUAGACUCCAGUCCUAUAUGGAAUGUCCGAGGCUGUGUCAGAGAAACACAAAGGUCUCUUCUGCCUCCCUUCCUGGGUUCUAGGAUUCUUCUGAAAAGAACCCUAAUGCUAACUAGAAGGUAGAAGAGUGGAAGCCCAGACACAGAUUAAGGAGUACACAUAGGUUCGGCCACAAUGGAGAUCAGGGAGGGAGGAUCUUCAACAAACUAAGAAAGAACCAGUGUAUGGCCCACUACAGCGUGUCCAGGUUAUUUACCUGAGGGACCGUAAGCCAACCUAUCACCCUGUGAACACUGCUGUGAGUUCACAAUUAUGGCUGAGUUAUGUACGGAAGCAAGAGAAGCGUCCGUCAACAAAUGACAGGGUUAAAUGGAGUGUGUGUGUAUAACGAAACUUUAGUCAGCUCUAAGGAAGAGCAGAAUCAUGCUGUUUGUUGAAGAACGGGUGUGACAGAAACUAACUAUAUGAAAUAAGUCAGCAAGAUAAGUGUCACACAUUUUUAGUCCUUUUGCACAUCCUUGGGUACACACACACACACAACACACCCUCACACACACUAAGGAAAAAAAAACUGGCUUCGAAGGACAAAAGGAGGCUACGAAAGGAAACAUAUUUGUUCGACUUUGAGGAAGAAGCCGAUUUGUCUGAAGGAGUCUGGGGACAGCCCUGCCUUUGUCUGAUAAGCCCUCUCUGCAAGUCCCUGUAAGCCAUAUGUGUUUAAGAUGUAGAGGAUCAGCUCAGGGGAUCAGCGCACAGCCCUGGAAGCGUUAGCAUGCGCUUCCUACUUUAAGCAGCUGUCUGGCAAAAUGGUCUGUCACUGUCAUAGGGCAGCCGAGCAUGAGAGUGCUUUGACAGUGCGAGUCUGUCUCAAUCCUUCCACCCAAACUCAAAGGAACGUCUUCCCAAAGGCCGAGGGCAGCCAUUCUUUGCAGCGGGAGUAAGCUCGGCUGAUGGCUUAAUCUGGAAGCCAAUUGGCUUUCAAGGAGACAUAACUCACUCCAUAUUUAGAGAAACGUUUGGAGUCUAUUGGGACUGCUUCGGGAGGGGAUUUGAAAACUUUGAAAAGGAACCUGAUAUGAACACUGACCGACUGGAAGACCUUCUGUCUUUCACAAGUGGGCACGUACCUGGCAGCCCUUGCUGGCUUGGCUUCAACUCCUAGAUCCCGGAUCAUGGAAGCCCUGGAGGGUCUGGCAGUUGGUUCCGGAGUCAACAAGAAGCAGGCAGCCACCACCAACCUAGAAGUAUUAUCAUGGUUUAACAGCAAUCCAAGCAAUGUCUCUGCUCCUGAAAUGGAACCUGGGCCUUGUUGGACGACGUGGGACAAAGGAGAGAGGCAGGUCCACUGUGGGGUCUGUCUGUGUUUAUAUGGUUGGCAGAGCGCGCUUUGAUGUCACCCUGAUGACGUCUGUCAUCUUCCCCACACCUGCUAUGGCAUGGCUGCCUUCAGUCACAAGCCUGAUUCACAGCACACUCUAUGUUUAGCAGCGCUCUGAGAAGGAUUCCAGUCUGCCUUCAGCCCUAAAUAGCUACAAAUAUCAGAGUAGCAGCGGCAGCCCUUCAAAGGCCUUUUUGGGAAGUGUCAUGCCAGAGAUGGGGUGACACAGAGGAGCCCCAGAAAGAAGCAAGAUGUCACCUGGAAACUGGAGGGAAAAAGAAGAAAUGAACCAGCGUCGACUGCUAAGAAGGUGAAGAAAUGAACCAGCGUCGACUGCUAAGAAGGUGAAGAAAUGAACCAGCGUCGACUGCUAAGAAGGUGAUAAAGUUGACCAUCUGUUCCUCAGUUACUUAUAGCACGGUCAUCGUCUGGAAAGUUGGAGACAAUGACUAGAAGACAAUGAAGGGACGAAAUACAAGGUGUCUGGUGCAGACUGAUAUGGCCAGGCACGUAAUUAAUGCCUCUUUAAAAGUGAACAAAAGCAGAGCAAGAAGUAAAAAACAAAGCGAUUACGCAUCAGCUGCUGAAACACUGUGUCCUAGCUUAAACGAGGCUGGAAAAAUGCUUCCACAGAGAACAGGAUGCUUGAGGACUCUAGCCUUUUCCCGGAGGGGCUGUAAUGGCUCCAGCCUCGCAGACGGGCUGCGCAGCGGCGCCAGCGAGCUCUGCUGCCCCCUGCUGGACGGAACGCGGGACUCGCGCCAGCCAGUCUGCGAGGCUCCCGCUGGCUCCCUGGGGACCCAGCACUCCUCCAGCAGGUUAUGCAACACCAGCUCACUUCAGGAAAGGAAACCAUCGACUUCAUGGAGCUUCCAAUGAGCCAGUGUUAAGAGUAAGGCGGAGACUAGAAAAUAGCACGCAUGUGUCCAGCCUUGGAGGCGCGUGUGUAAGGGGAGUGGACUAACUGAAAGGAAGCAGUGUAAAGAUUAGCCGCAGGGUAUGGUCUUCUAGUGACGCCGCACCUCAUGACCAGCUACUGACAUGGUGGGCGGCAGUGCUUCAUUUCCGGAGUGCAGCCCCAUCUUCUAGCUCCUUCAAGGUUAUAGAUCUUCUAGCUGUGUGACCUUCAAGGUUUUAAACUCUGACUGUUGGUGAACCAUAUCCAGUGGGUUGGUCUUUCCUAACAAGACACACAGUGAAGGCUUUAUAGAGAGGCAUAUUAAGGUGGAGCAGGGCUAUUCCCUCCUUUUACUGUUCAGAAAUAAUAAACAUUUUGAUAUUUCCAGUAUUCGUCCGGAUCACCAUAUCUUUAGAGGAAUUUUUCUUCUAUUUGGACCGACCCUUUGGAGUUUUACCUUUUGGGGUUUUACUGAUGUGAAGGAGGGGUCGUGGUGGUGGUGGCCGUUCACUCUUGUCCAAUCUGGAUGUGGAUUAAUGGUGUUUUCCAGCCCAUAAAAUAUUUUAAAAUUUUUAUUUCACACGGGGUUAUGAAGCAUCGCUGCCUUUACGACAGCUCGACUGGAACUUUCAAAAUUAAAAAUGACAGGAACUGAAAGUUGUCAUAGAGAUUCCAAGGCACUACCAUUCUCUUAUUCUGUAGACGAUGUUCUGCGCUUUUCAACCAAGUAAGAAUAGAUCUCUGGAGAUGAGAAGAUGACCACCACGUGUCUUUUCCCAGUCUUUGGAUGGUACCUUUCACAUCCUGGAAGGGAGAAAGCUGAGUCACCACCACAGAGUCUGAACCUGAUUAUCAUAUUCAGUAGCCACUGCCAAGCAUACAUUAGCACCUCUCCCAGAACUACUCUCUGUCUGCACAGGGCACCUGGACACUCUGCUCAUGAGAAUGCAAUACCCAACAUGAGUCAAGAAAGCCCAAAGACGUCCACCCUGAUCUGGUGAUAGAUGACACCUGACCUCCUUAGCCAAUAUGCAGACUGAGACUGUAUCUGGCAGAGUUUCUGGCUGCAGAACCCUUGACCGUCAGAAGUGAAUGAAAGUUUGCUUUAGAGUGGGGCCAGGCUGCUAACUGCGCCAACGCUGCAUUUGGAGGGCUGUGACUUGCAGCCUGACCUCCUGGAACUGAGUGGAGCAGCAAUCAACAAUGACUUUGUAAGCUGAUCCCUGCUACAGACCGUACAAAAUCCUCAACGGGGAGAGCUGCUUACCUACAGAGGUCACAGGAGCUCUGUGCUCACCACCCCUAAUGCCCGUGUUCCUUGAAGUUGGCUGUUCCUGAGUUGUAUCUUUUGAAGUGAACUGACAUUGAUUCCUUUGGAAACUUGGAUGGCAUCGUUUAAUCUGUGGAGUGGGAAAAAGGAGACGAAGGAAGGAAGAGGAGAGGAGACCAUAAACCUCGCUGAGAGCUCACUGGAUCCGGGAAGUUGCUAAUAAAAACCCAGGCGGGGAUGGCACCUGCAGACAACUCACUCUACCUAGCCGUCAGAGCUGGCCUGGAAGAACAAAGGCUUUCUGGGGAGCUGCAAAUCACACAUUGAUCUUGCCCGAGAGUAUCUUUCCUUAGCGAUGAGAAGCUGGAAUAAAACGAAGUGGAAUGAAAAGCGGCAAGCAGAGGCCCUGAAGACUCCCACAGAAAUCCUGGUUCUGCAGAUUUACCUGUGCCGUGGGACCCACCUGUGUGGGACGAGGCACUUCUUGUUGAGCGUUCUGCUGCUCCAGAGUGCUUCAGCAUUACGUGUGGAAAGCAGAGACUUGAGGAAAAAUCAGUCAAACGAGAGCAUUGCAUAACUCGGACCACUGGAAAAUCCAUUCCCCCUUUAGGCAUCCCAAUGAGGGCAGUAACAACUAAGCAUGUUCCGGCUGUCGUGCUUACUCUAAUGCUGGCACUGGGGAGGAGAGGAGGCAAGUGCAUCCUAGGAGUUUGCUAGCAAGUGAGCCAGCUUCACCCCCUCACGCCACUCCCGGUUGCUAGAAUAGGAGGGCCUCUCCCAGAAUACUCCACACAACAGAUGGUUGAUCUACACCAGGAAACACCCAAAGAAGAAGACCAAGGCCACCACAGGCGGCAACUUGCCUACUCACCAGGGUCCAAGGAAGACCUCCAUCCCAUGGUGGGUAGAGUCCACAUGUGGGUCUCUGGGCUCUCUUCUCUGGUCUUCCUGUCCUCGUUGCUUUACUAAGGGAGACCUGUGAGCAACAGUGUUUUAACGCACGUUAUAGACGACACCGGAGUGUGGCUCUCACCAAAGCGUGUGCCUGACGUGAAGUGUGCCAGACUCCACGAGAAGUGUGUCUGGGCCAACUGACAGCAGUGGCUCUGGCUUUGACACGGCUCUCAGCACUCCCAUUCUGUUCCGAGAGGCCAGGAAGCAGAUGGAGAGAGAAUAAGCAAUGCAGUGGGAUGUCUACAUCUUGGCAGUCAGUUCACGGCGAGCUAUGUUUCUCAAGCUAUUAAGAUACAUGAUGCUACCUGUACAUUUAAUCUCUAAUCAAGUAUGUAAUUUUUUUAUUGCCUAGGGUAUGUCUAUGCAGUUGAAAGCAAAAACCUGUGUUCUAUCUUUAAAGAAAAAAUAAAACAACAACAAUAACAACCACAACACCCCUGUAAAAUCAAGAGAGAGGGAGCAAGAAGUUGGGUGGGUGGUGAGGUGGGGGAGAAUCGGGGAACAAUGGAGGAGGAAAACAAUAUAAUCAAAACAUACUGUAUGGAAAUUAAAUGUCCACCCUGCUCCUUGUGAAGUUUGCUUCCUUCACAGUGAUGUGAAGGGAACAGUGAUAUGCUUCCCCAAGGGGCACGAAGGAGAGGUGCUCUGAGAAAGUGACAUAAACAGGGAAGAUUUUUCUUCUUUGUAGAGAAGGGCGUUAGAGUACAGCAUUGUGAGAUUGCUCAGUGUGUGCACAGAGUACAGCAUUGUGAGGUUACUCAGUGUGUGCACAGAGUACUGCAUCAUCAGAUUACUCAGUGUGUGCACAGAGUACUGCAUUGUGAGAUUACUCAGUGUGUGCACAGAGUACUGCAUUGUGAGAUUACUCAGUGUGUGCACAGAGUACAGCAUUGUGAGAUUACUCAGUGUGUGCACAGAGUACAGCAUUGUGAGAUUACUCAGUGUGAGCACAGAGUACUGCAUUGUGAGAUUACUCAGUGUGAGCACAGAGUACUGCAUCAUCAGAUUACUCAGUGUGAGCACAGAGUACUGCAUCAUCAGAUUACUCAGUGUGUGCACAGAGUACUGCAUUGUGAGAUUACUCAGUGUGUGCACAGAGUACUGCAUUGUGAGAUUACUCAGUGUGUGCACAGAGUACUGCAUCAUCAGAUUACUCAGUGUGUGCACAGAGUACUGCAUCAUCAGAUUACUCAGUGUGAGCACAGAGUACUGCACUGUGAGAUUACUCAGUGUGUGCACAGAGUACUGCAUUGUGAGAUUACUCAGUGUGAGCACAGAGUACUGCAUUGUGAGAUUACUCAGUGUGUGCACAGAGUACAGCAUUGUGAGAUUGCUCAGUGUGUGCACAGAGUACUGCACUGUCAGAUUGUUCAGUGUGUGUCAAACCAGCUUUAGCAGCACUGAGAGAGAACUGACUUCAUUAACACUGGAGAUCUUGGAGACAGAUCAAGUACUCCUAUGCAGGGCAACACAAGGCACUGCAUUGAAGGAAGUCUUCCAAGAGCAGAGAAAUUCUCUCCUGGACACUACUUCCACAGAAUUUUCAGAUAGUUCCAUUUAACUUCCAAGUUCGUUGAUCAACUGUCAUGGGGAGAAGGGAUAGACGUCACGGAGCAUUGUGUCAUUAACAUUCGUUGCUGAAGAAGACUGGGAAGCAAUUCUAAAUUUGCAGCAGCCACGAGGUCCAUGGGCAGAGGUGGACAGAAGUGAGGACUGUCCAAAUGGUGGACUGCUUUGAGCAAGUGAAUGAGUCGUUGCAACUCCACAACUGGGUACGAUAAAAACGCUUCCAUAAACAAUGUAAAAUCAACUGGGUAAGGCGUAAUCCCAUUUAUUUACAGUUCAAAAAUAAACAAAGCGAGUCGCUGACAUCUGAAGUGAGAAGAGAUACCCGCCAUGGGCGAGCUUAGUGAAGAUUCAGCUUCAGGCGUUAGGGAUGGUUUCGUCCCUGAUGGGUUGUUGGUUACGAGCACAUGUUUGUUCUCCACGAGCAUACAUUUUAUUUCUGAGUCGUGUAUAUUUUUUUCUUCAUCCUGAAUCAGCAAAACAGUUACAAGCAAGCAAUGUCAACAUAGUUUCUUUUGCAUGUAUUAAAGUUUGGACCGUUCAGUCAAUCGUUUAAAGGACUAGGUAUGUGGGAGGAAGUGGCCCACAAAGGCUGAAGAGUUAAGUAUUUAAAGACUCAGAAUUACUUGAGAUAGUGAAAAAACGUUAGAGAGAAAAAUUUGAGCUUGGCUUCGUAGUCUAAAUUUCUUUGUCAGUAAAAACCUUCAUUUGUGGUAAAAUUUGGGCAGGGGAGUAAUGGUAUUUGAUAAGGGGUGGGGAAGAAUGUGAACUCAAAAUUAUAACCCAUUUUCUUUCUUUUUAACAUUUUCAGGUCAACACCAAACGUUUAGGUUCUGUGUGAUCAAAAUAGAAGGUCUUCACGUAUAUGGACCUGUCCUCCGCUAAGAUGUAAUUAUCAGUUGAUCAGGUUGAAAGACGGCUGAGUAGAUCCGGCACUAACAACAGAAUCAUCACACCAUGGAGAAACAAAUGUUCUAACAAUGUUCAUAACUCUACACGAUCCUUUCCUUUUUCACCACAAUCUAUGCUUCCCCAUCUGGCAGACAAGUAUGGAUCCCUUUCAACAUGGUAGGUAACAUUCCAGAUUGGAUAAUAAAAGUCUCUGUGGGAGAA
Molecule: small RNA, 12161 nt
Filed under: Rattus norvegicus (Norway rat)
Lineage: Eukaryota; Metazoa; Chordata; Mammalia; Rodentia; Muridae
Description: uncharacterized LOC102547244
Source: RNAcentral